GUACUCUCAAGCUCUGCUUGGUGUUGGGUGCUGUCUAGCUACUAGACUCGCCUCAAAUGAAUUGGCAGCCAGUGUAUUGGUCUUGAGCGCAGCACAAUUUGCACUCUUGCCAGCUACAACUGGUAUCCAGAAGCCUUUUAUAAC
This 144-nucleotide unclassified non-coding RNA is filed under the name uncultured Ascomycota. Its description in RNAcentral is "sequence contains ITS2". Lineage: Eukaryota; Fungi; Ascomycota. The record is from RNAcentral.